UACGAAGGGGGCUAGCGUUGCUCGGAAUUACUGGGCGUAAAGCGUGCGUAGGCGGUUCGUUAAGUUCGUUGUGAAAGCCCCGGGCUCAACCUGGGAACUGCAAUGGAAACUGGCGGGCUUGAGUGUGGCAGAGGGGGGUGGAAUUCCGCGUGUAGCAGUGAAAUGCGUAGAGAUGCGGAGGAACACCGAUGGCGAAGGCAGCCCCCUGGGCCAACACUGACGCUCAGGCACGAAAGCGUGGGGAGCAAACAGG
RNAcentral lists this ribosomal RNA (253 nucleotides) under uncultured bacterium. RNAcentral describes it as "partial 16S ribosomal RNA". It matches the Rfam family "Bacterial small subunit ribosomal RNA", at positions 524 to 776 of the family's 1533-position model. The record is from RNAcentral.